Molecule: ribosomal RNA, 531 nt
Filed under: Triticum aestivum (bread wheat)
Lineage: Eukaryota; Viridiplantae; Streptophyta; Magnoliopsida; Poales; Poaceae
Description: partial small subunit ribosomal RNA
Source: RNAcentral
AUGGUGGAAAUUGUGCGUGCCAAAAAAGGUGGAAUGGGAUUUUGAGAUAUUCAUUGUUUUAACCUAGCCCAACUUGCGAAGCGGGCUUGGAGAUUAAUUGAUAAUCCGGAUUCCCUUUGUGCUUGUGUUCUCAAAGCCAAAUAUUAUCCAGAUUGUGAUAUUUUGAAUGCAACUCCUAAAAAGAGAGCCAUAUUCACAUGGCAAAGUAUUGUGUCAGGGGUGCGAACACUAAAAAGAGGUCAUACAUGGAGAAUUGGUGAUGGUAGUCAGAUCAAUGCUUGGGAUGAUGAAUGGAUCCCUAACUCACCUACCAUGAAAGUGAUCACAACUCGUGGAGGCAAUUUACUAUCAAAAGUAAGUGAUUUCAUUGACCCUGUUACAGGUAGUUGGGAUGAAGAGUUGGUUUCUCAAACAUUCUGGCAAGUUGAUGUCACGCAGAUCCUUGUGAUUCCAUUGCCUGAAUUUGAUAUGUCAAACUUUUUAGCAUGGAACUUGUGCAAAACCCGGAGAUUCUCAGUGAGAUCAGCAUAA